RNAcentral lists this transfer RNA (60 nucleotides) under Rhipicephalus turanicus. RNAcentral describes it as "tRNA-Leu". The record is from RNAcentral. Lineage: Eukaryota; Metazoa; Arthropoda; Arachnida; Ixodida; Ixodidae.
UUAAAGUGGCAGAACUUAAUGCGAGGAAUUUAAGCUUCCUCUAUGAAAUUUUCCUUUAAU